CAGUAGCCACGGGAGUACGUAGGGGGCAAGCGUUGUCCGGAAUCAUUGGGCGUAAAGAGCGUGUAGGCGGCUCGGUAAGUCCGCUGUGAAAGUCCAGGGCUCAACCCUGGAAUGCCGGUGGAAACUGUCGAGCUAGAGUCCGGAAGAGGCGAGUGGAACUCCUGGUGUAGCGGUGAAAUGCGCGGAUAUCAGGAAGAACACCAAUGGCGAAGGCAGCUCGCUGGGACGGUACUGACGCUGAGACGCGAAAGCGUGGGGAGCAAACAGGAUUAGAUACCCCAGUAGUCCCUGUCUCUUAUAC
This 301-nucleotide ribosomal RNA is filed under the name uncultured bacterium. RNAcentral describes it as "partial 16S ribosomal RNA". It matches the Rfam family "Bacterial small subunit ribosomal RNA", at positions 509 to 807 of the family's 1533-position model. The record is from RNAcentral.